AUGACUUUCUUAGGAAGAGACCUGAGGCACAGGUCAGGAGCGUGGUCUCCAGGCCCAGCUUUGCCAUUCUCUGUGGCUUGGUUGAGGUCCCGACCCUCCGCCAGCCUAUAAAAUGAGAGAUUUGGGCUGGCUCAUCUAAGGCUAGAGCAAACACUGUGAUCCUAUGUAAACUCUUGCUUCUCUGUCCUAAAUGAACUGCACGCUAAAGAGAGACCGUUUCCAGGGCUGUACUGAGAGGGCAAAUUCGUUCAGUGGCAUCUCAAAAGUAUACCUUGAAUAGGAUUCCUCUGCAGAAUUGCACCUGCAUACCAUCAACAUGCCCCAGGAGUCUGACUCGGCCAGCUCUGACGUGCCUAUCUUUUCUAGGAUUGAAUAAAAGGAAUAUUAACUUUAAUCAAAAAAGUCAAGCCCUCUUGGCAUCACAUCAGCGCGUGCUCAAAUCACGGAAAAGGUUCAUCUGGAAUCCUGGAUCUACUUCCCUGCUGAGUCCCUCUGACACCAGUAGGGUGGCAAGACUCAAUUUCUCACCCUCAGGAAUGAAUGAUGGAAAAUACCUAAGUAGCAGCAGGCACCCUGCUAUUGGAGCAGGUCUGAUUUUCUCCUUCCUGGGAUGGUCUGAGGUUGGCCCAGGACAAGCUCCUUGAAGGCAAACACCAUUUUCCUUUUGGAUCUCUCAGUACCCAGCCCAGAGACUCGCAGAGCAAACAGGCAGAUAUUUGGUGAAUCAGUGAAAAUGCCUGGCGGCAGAGAUCUGACACUCUCCCAGAGAACAUGUAGCUGCAGAAAUGGCCUGGCAGUAGGGUGGUGCUGGCACCCACAGACCUCUGGCUGCAUUUCUCAGGCAGUCACAGAGGCGCAGGCUGAAUGGGCAGCCCCGAGUGCCCUGCACACCACACGGCGCCCUGUAGGAAGCACCAGACCACUGAGUCCCUGUGUGCUUCCCACCACCACAUUGAGGGCCAAAGACACCCUUGAACCAAGUUCCCUGCAGGAGUGCUCUUUAGAGAGCAGAUGUGGCGAUCAGUCUCUCUACACUGAAGGUAUGUGGAUCUUGGAUGCAGGAAAGGGACAGAGGGACCAUCCAAAAGGACUUGAUUGCAGGACAUGGUUAAGUCACCAUGAACAAGAACUUCUGACCCUUCCAGAAAAUAAGAGUGGUGGGGGAGCCACUGAGCAAGCCACUCUGUGCAGAGGAAGCCUGCAUCUCAACGAUGUGCUCCCAUGUGCCCUCAGAGGAUGGCUGCUCUCCACAUUGACAGCUGGAUUCAGAAAAUACAGCUCUCUUUGGAAAGCACACUUUUUAAAAAUGUAGACAGGCUCAUUUAAGAAAAACAUGGAAUGCUCAAACCCUGCAAUUUGUGGUCCCUUAUUCUCAACUUUAAAUUCAAGAACAAUCAGCAGCUUCCAUGGCUGUAAAGCGCGAGUGCAGGUCCUUCCGCUCUCCGCGCAGGCUUCCUGCUUCCUUCCUGAUCAUUCACUCCUCUUCUCCCUGCCCAGAGCUCCCCUCCACCCCUCCCACAGCACACACAGGUGGCCCCGAAGCCCAGAGCAUUCCCAACAAAGGGGCCAAACAAGUCCAAACCACCCUUGAAACCGCUUCCUUUCACUUGGGAUUUUCAAAACUUAACAAUAGGCUCCACACACAAAUACACUUCAGAUGGGCGGUGGCUCCCAGCUGGGUGUCACUUAGAGUCUCUGAGUAUCUCUGAGUCUCUGAGGCUGCAGGGGAGAUAGUUCUUCCUAACUUAAAGAAAGGACAAUAGAAACAUGACCACUAGGAAACAAGGCUUAACGCUUUAAAAGGAAAUUUGUGUUGAUUUAAGCCAAAACAUCAUGAACAACAUUAAGAUAUAUUUCUAGAAAUUAAAAAACUGCCAGGUGCAGCAGCUCGUGCCUCUAAUCCCAGACCUUGGGAGCCCGAGGCAGGAGGAUCUGCUUGAACCCAGGAGUUCCAGGCCAGCCUAGGCAAGAUGACGAGACCCUCAUUUCUACAAAAAUAUUUUUAAAAUUAGCUGGGUAUGGUGGCAUGUGCCUGUCGUCCCACCCACUUGGGAGGCUGAGGUGGGAGGAUCACUUGAGCCCAGGAGGUUGAGGCUGCAGAGAGCUGUGAUGACACUGCACUCCAGUCUAGGCAACAGAGCAAGAUCCCAUCACAAAAAAAAGAAAGAAAGAAUGACAAAGACCCUUGCCUAUGGCCAUCUAGUCAGUGGCAGAGCGGGGAGGGGACACCAGGGCUGCAGGACUCUGAAAUAAAGAGAGAGGUCCCAGUCUCAGCAGUGGUAUAGCAUCCUGUUUGGAUCACAGGCAAUUUUUAUUUCCAUGUUUUCUAUUAUGAAAAUGUAUUAACAACGAGAAAACUUUCACAGUUAUCUUUUAAAAACACAAGGAAUGAAUAAGUAGAUACAGAUGGCUUACAAAAUUAUUUUAAAGACUUGGUAAAUGUUCCAAAUCUAAUCACAGUGUCUAGUUUAUAUCUGCAGGCCUGGACUGUAACUGAAGAAAAAAGAGACUCAAUCGAUCAUAACCUGAAAGAGACUCAAUCGAUCAUAACCUGAUUUCUGAUAAAGGAUGUGUUGACUGAAGGAUGCUGCCCUGCAUACUGUUUAGAAAAAGCCAAAGAGAGACUUCAUCAGUGUUGAUGCACUUGGAGACGGGCUAUGUAUGAGCUCAUCUGCCAAGUUUGACAGAAACACCCUUGGAGGACUAAGCUCCCUGGUGGGUUCUGUCUCUGAGCUCACUCAACAGCUUCUGAUGACGUGGUCUCCUACGCAGCAUUCUCCUCCCAGGGGCAGAAACACACUCGUGUCAUUUGGUCAGCUUCAUCUUCUGCUAAUAUUUUAGGCCUGCCAAGCUAAGGACUAGACUCUGAAGGGUCAUCAGGAUUCGGGGACAGAAGAUAAACCAGGCUGCAUGACUGUGACCCCAGAUUAAGCCCCAUUAAACCCAAAGCUCACCCCACCUCUACACUUUCCAGGUACAGAUGAAGAAAAGCAAUUGACCACUUUCUUUAAGAAACGCCUUUGGCCGGGAGCAGUGAUUCAUGCCUGUAAUCCCAGCACUUUGGGAGGCUGAGGCAAGCAGAUCACAAGGUCAAGAGAUCGAGACCAUCCUAGCCAACAUGGUGAAAGCCUAUCUCUACUAAAAAUACAAAAAUUAGCCAGGCGUGGUGAUACACACCUGUAGUCCCAGCUACUCGGGAAGCUGAGGCGAGAGUGGCUUGAAUCCAGGAGGCGGAGGUUGAAGUGGGCCAAGAUUGUGCCACUGCACUCCAGUAUGGCAACACAGUGAGACUCAGUCUCAAAAAAAAAAAAGUCUUUGCACAUUCUUUUAUUUUUUUCUGAUUAUAAAAAUAAACACUCGUAUUCAAAUUGUAUUAAAAAUUCAAAUGGUGGCCGGGUGUGGUGGCUCACGACUGUAAUCCAAGCACUUUGUAGGCCAAGGCGGGCGGACCACCUGAGGUUGGGAGUUCAAGACCAGCCUGACCAACAUGGUGAAACCCCGUCUUUAAAAAAAAAAAAAAAGCAAGAAAAAAAAAUUCGAAUGGUUCAUAAUCAAACAAAUCAGUCCUUCUUAAUUCCCUGUCAUAAAACAGCAGACUUCAAAUGUUUUGGUCUCGUUUACACUCUCAAAAUUUACUGAAGGUCCCAAAGAGCUUUGGUUUAUGUGGAUUAUACCUAUCAAUAUUUACAUUACUAGAAA
Non-coding RNA from Callithrix jacchus (white-tufted-ear marmoset), 3699 nucleotides. Lineage: Eukaryota; Metazoa; Chordata; Mammalia; Primates; Cebidae. The record is from RefSeq and is a predicted model, not a curated record.